UGGGCAAAGCUGCUACUAUAAAAGCUGGUGGAAUGCAAGCUUUAGGACUUCACCUGACAGAUCCAAGUCAGCAUCUUGUUCAGAACAGUCUUUGGACUCUCAGGAAUCUUUCAGAUGCUGCAACUAAACAGAAAGGGAUGGAAGAUCUUCUUGGGACUCUUGUUCAGCUUCUGGGCUCAGAUGAUAUAAAUGUGGUCACCUGUGCAGUUGGAAUUCUUUCUAACCUCACUUGCAAUAAUUACAAGAACAAGAUGAUGGUAACAAGAUGCCAAGUGGGUGGUAUAGAGGAUCUUGUGUGUACUGUCCUUCGAGCUGGUGACAGGGAGGAUAUCACUGAGCCUGCCAUCUGUGCUCUUUGUCAUCUGACCAGCUGACCCCAGGAAGCAUAAAUGGCUCAGAAUGCAGUUCGCCUUCAUUAUGGACUACCAGUUAUGGUUAAAUUCCUUACACCCACCAUCCCAUUGGCCUCUGAUCAAGGCCACAGUUGGAUUGAUUAGAAAUCUUGCCCUUUCUCCAGAAAAUCGAGAACCUUUGCAUGAACAGGAUGCCAUUCCACGACUAGUUCAGUUGCUUGUUCGUGCACAUCAGGGUACCCAGCGCUGUUCGUCCAUGGGUGGAACACAGCAGCAGUUUGUGGAGGGAGUCCGCAUGGAAGAAAUAGCUGAAGGUUGAACUGGAGCCCUUCACAUCCUCGUUUGAGAUGUUCAUAACCGAAUCGUAAUCAGAGAGCUAAAUACCAUUCUGUUGUCUGUGCGUCUGCUUUACUCUCCCAUUGAAAAUAUUCAAAGAGUAGCUGCGGGGGUCCUCUGUAAACUUGCUCAGAACAAGGAGGCUGCAGGAGCUAUUGAAGCCGAAGGAGCCACAACUCCUCUCACAGAGUUACUUCACUCUAAGAAUGAAGGUUUGGCAACAUAUGCAACUACUGCUUUGUUUCAAAUGUCCAGCUUUCAGUUGAGCUGACCAGUUCUGUCUUCAGAACAGAGUCCAUGACUUGGAAUGAGACUGCUGAUCUUGGAUUUGAUAUUGGUGCCCAGGGGAACCUCUUGAACAUCGCCAGGAUGAUCCUAGCUAUCUUUCUUUUCACUCUGGUGAAUACGGCCAGGAUGCCUUGGGUAUGGACCCCAUGAUGGAACAUGAGAUGGGUGGCCACCACCCUGGGGCUGACUAUCCAGUUGAUGAGCUGCCAAAUUUGGAGCAUGAAUCAGCUGGCCUGGUUUGA
RNA transcript from Carlito syrichta (Philippine tarsier), 1219 nucleotides. It is a transcript of the gene named catenin beta-1 pseudogene, with no coding region annotated. The transcript has a single exon. The record is from RefSeq and is a predicted model, not a curated record. NCBI's taxonomy places the organism in Eukaryota, Metazoa, Chordata, Mammalia, Primates, Tarsiidae.